GAGUGAACGCUGGCGGCAGGCCUAACACAUGCAAGUCGAACGGCAGCACAGAGGAGCUUGCUCCUUGGGUGGCGAGUGGCGGACGGGUGAGGAAUACGUCGGAAUCUGCCUAUUUGUGGGGGAUAACGUAGGGAAACUUACGCUAAUACCGCAUACGACCUACGGGUGAAAGCGGAGGACCUUCGGGCUUCGCGCAGAUAGAUGAGCCGACGUCGGAUUAGCUAGUUGGCGGGGUGAACGGCCCACCAAGGCGACGAUCCGUAGCUGGUCUGAGAGGAUGAUCAGCCACACUGGAACUGAGACACGGUCCAGACUCCGUACGGGAGCAG
RNAcentral lists this ribosomal RNA (329 nucleotides) under uncultured soil bacterium. RNAcentral describes it as "bacterial SSU rRNA". It matches the Rfam family "Bacterial small subunit ribosomal RNA", at positions 27 to 351 of the family's 1533-position model. The record is from RNAcentral.